This 74-nucleotide transfer RNA is filed under the name Anaerobacillus sp. HL2. RNAcentral's name for it is "tRNA-Gly". It matches the Rfam family "tRNA". Rfam says of the family: Transfer RNA (tRNA) molecules are approximately 80 nucleotides in length. Their secondary structure includes four short double-helical elements and three loops (D, anti-codon, and T loops). The record is from RNAcentral. Lineage: Bacteria; Bacillati; Bacillota; Bacilli; Caryophanales; Bacillaceae.
GCAGGAGUAGUUCAGUGGUGAACACCACCUUGCCAAGGUGGGGGUCGCGAGUUCGAAUCUCGUCUUCCGCUCCA